RNAcentral lists this unclassified non-coding RNA (20 nucleotides) under La Crosse virus. RNAcentral describes it as "RNA (5'-R(P*UP*AP*UP*AP*AP*UP*AP*GP*UP*AP*GP*UP*GP*UP*A)-3') from La Crosse virus (PDB 7ORM, chain P)". The record is from RNAcentral. Lineage: Riboviria; Orthornavirae; Negarnaviricota; Bunyaviricetes; Elliovirales; Peribunyaviridae.
AAUGCUAUAAUAGUAGUGUA